UUAUCCGGAUUUACUGGGUGUAAAGGGAGCGUAGACGGAAUGGCAAGUCUGAUGUGAAAGGCCGGGGCUCAACCCCGGGACUGCAUUGGAAACUGUCAAUCUAGAGUACCGGAGGGGUAAGUGGAAUUCCUAGUGUAGCGGUGAAAUGCGUAGAUAUUAGGAGGAACACCAGUGGCGAAGGCGGCUUACUGGACGGUAACUGACGUUGAGGCUCGAAAGCGUGGGGAGCAAACAGGAUUAGAUACCCUGGUAGUCCACUCCGUAAACGAUGAAUACUAGGUGUUGGGGAGCAAAGCUCUUCGGUGCCGCAGCAAACGCAUUAAGU
Molecule: ribosomal RNA, 325 nt
Filed under: uncultured bacterium
Lineage: Bacteria
Description: bacterial SSU rRNA
Rfam family: Bacterial small subunit ribosomal RNA
Source: RNAcentral